GGGGUAAAAAGGGGAUAAGGGCAGGAAAAAGAAAUAUGUCUCUGGGCAAUAUAUCAUUUGUGGGUUUAACACAUACAAAGGAAACCAAGUGUAGCUUAUCAGAUUAGGUGAGAAGAAUUCAGCAACAGCAGCUAUUUGAAACCCUUCCCUUUCCCCAAAGUUAAUAUGUACUACCACCAAAGUAAUGCCAAUGAAAGUGCUAGUGUUAAGGCUCCAGCCAAGCUGUUUUUCAGUAGUUUAAUGCCAAGUGCCUGAUACAGUCAUCUGCAAGUCUAAACAAGUGUAUUUAGUUUUUUCUUAUUCUUGUUUUAUUGGGGAGGGUGAAGAUGUAGGGGAGCAGUUGUCAAAACAUGCACAUAUUUUUUAUAGAGAGUACAGUGCACAGUAUUUUAGCUGCAAGUGUGCUCAAAAUGAACAAAAGAAUAGGGAAGACUUGGUAUUGCAAAGAAGAAUGGGUCUCUCCCCUCUGAAAUUCACACCUCUUACUGGAGGAUACUUUCCAAGUUAGGCUGUUAAUUGGGAAGUGUACUCUGAGAUUCUUGGAGCUCCAUGACUGAGGCAAAUUUCAGGGUCUGGGUCUGCAUUAAACCUGUCAACUUGCCCUGAACAAGGAGGAGGUAGCAAGUUCUAUUUACAUUGAAGAACUAUUACAUCAAAAGAGCAGAGAAUUCUAAAGUGGGCAGUUGAUCCCAGGGAGAGCUUAUUAGUAACAUGACAUCACAAGUGGAUAGAAAUUGAAUAUUUGUAGUGCCAAUGGGCAAAUUUUCUCUGUAGUUGUAACAUGGCUGCCCCAUCAUAGAAAGAGGGAAGGGAGAGGCUUAAAAUGAAGGACCCCUGGUGAAGAGUUUCUUUCCCCAGUUGGACCUUGAGUUCUCACUGAGAAAGUAAAACUGGCUUUGCAAUACCAGGACCAGCACUCCCCCAACACACCCUCACCACAAACAAAAUUAAGUCCCUUUAGAAUUAGGGGAAGCAACAAAGUUUUUCUUUUGUGUAAAAUGCAUUUUUUUUCUUUUUCUCUAAUGGCAAGAAUCUCUUUUAUAUUUAUUUUGCACAACCCCCAUUCCUGGAAAUUCUCAUAGCCAAUUGCUUCCCCUCCCAUCAAGGUUUCUCUGUCUCUUUCUUUUAAGACAAAUAAGUUUGAACAGUUUCGGUAAAACUUCACAGGUGUGUAACUAGGAAGACAACAUUUUGAAAGAGAUGCCAUAUGAUGAGGACUCCUAAUGAUCACUGAAAGCAAACAAAUAAAAAUGCCAG
RNAcentral lists this long non-coding RNA (1257 nucleotides) under Marmota monax (woodchuck). The record is from RNAcentral. Lineage: Eukaryota; Metazoa; Chordata; Mammalia; Rodentia; Sciuridae.